Molecule: transfer RNA, 65 nt
Filed under: Hiatella sp. J HML-2015
Lineage: Eukaryota; Metazoa; Mollusca; Bivalvia; Adapedonta; Hiatellidae
Also listed under: 1 other name
Description: tRNA-Ser
Source: RNAcentral
GGGCUCUCCUAGGGCUUGCUUGUUUUGAAAACUAUGCAAGAAGUAUUCAAACUACUUAGGGCCUU